Molecule: long non-coding RNA, 154 nt
Organism: Anguilla anguilla (European eel)
Lineage: Eukaryota; Metazoa; Chordata; Actinopteri; Anguilliformes; Anguillidae
Exons: 3
Source: RefSeq, a predicted model, not a curated record
UGCUCUUCAAUACCUUGUUGGUAAUCGUCCUCUCUGUGUCAGGAGAAUACUACUGUGAAGCAGCGAAUGGGAUGGGGACAAACACCUCUCCUCCUAAACGUCUUGAUGAGCAGUAUCCUCCGAAGAGUGUCUCAGUAGCAGUGAGCCCCUCUGG